CCUAAGGAUACAUUUUGUAGGUAUGAAUUCCCUCAUCCCUUCAACAACUUGCUAUAUCUUCUACUAACAGCUGCUCAGGUACUUCUUCCAAACAUAAGUUGAAGGGCAUUCUGUCCUGGUUGGGUAUGCCAGUCCAGCAUGCAGCUUUACACAGUGUUGUCUGAGAUUGUCAAACUGUCAUUUCUGAGAACAGGAUCUGUGCUAGCGCAGUGCAGGAGUGCGCUCUCAGUUGGUGCCCUACUGCCAGUAUCAGCAGGGACUUUGUUAUUCGUUUUUGCUCUGUGUAAAUAUUGUGGUGACAUAAAAAAAAUACACUCUUUUUCUAAGAGUGGCUAGUCCACUUCUACAGCACAUAAUGGUAGGAAAGGAUUGUCAUAAUUACUUAUACAGUGUCUUUGACAAGCUUUGAAUGAUGACGUUUAGAAGUCCAGUGUCUUCACUCACAUUAAUUUGAUUUUCAAAUGGCACUGACAAUGUUCUGUAUCAAAGACAGAAAUAGUUUGCAAAGGCAAAUCCAGCUGCAAGGCGUUAAGACAAAGUGUUAGAAAGAAAAUUGAUGAAAGAGGAAGGAAGCAAUAGACCAUACAUGAAAGAGAUUAUAAAGAGAAUAAUCCAAAGUGCGUGUUGACAUCCUUAAUUCAGUCCUGUAUUUUAUCAUGGUAUGUCUGAAGGGUUUAAAAGCUAGAUUUGCAGACAGUAAUGACAUGGGGAGCACAGGAAAUUAUAAUGUGUUACAUCUAGAUUCAGUUCAUGCAGAGACAGGGACAAAAUAUUUCAAAAGAAACAAAAUCAAACCACAUUAAGAAUGGCAAAUACUGCACAUGACAGUAUUUUAUAGCAUUAAAAUUUUCAGUUAACUAGCAUAUUUGGCAAUCUCAUUGGGUUUUAUUCCUGAACUGUCACUGCCAGAGCAGCAGGAUUGCCCUUCUAAUCUGCCCCCCAGUCAUACUGUUGUUGGUAUUAAAAAGUCCAAAUCAGGCUGCAUCAGUGCAUCUGUGGUUUGCUCUGUGCCUUGCUCAUCCAGUUGAUUCUGUCAGUAUAGACUGGGUUGUGCAUACAUACCUGGAAAUAAUUCAGUCUGCCCUGAACAUGCACUUAGUCUUCAGGUUUUAUUUAGUAGUGUGACAGAAUAAGGUUACAGAUAUGUUUUCUCUGCUUCAAUUGACUCUUCUUUUGUACAGGAAUAGAAAAGAAGCCAUGGUGUUCACUUCUAGCAAAGGCUAGCACUGUUGUGGUUGUUAAGAUGAUGUGUCAACUCUGUAGCCGCUAUUCAGGGAGAAGCUGUAAUGAAUGACUACUUCCUUGUGAUCUGUAGGUAAUGAAGGUUUAGAAUCUGUGUUUUUGCUUCACCCGAAAAGGAAGUUGUGCCCCACUUUUUAAAACAUUUGGGUGGCCCGUGAGGUCUUCAAGAGCAUCUUUCAGAAAUUCUUCUGGAGUUUCUGAAAAUCAUGUUGGCAGCCUUCCAGCAACUUCAGGUGCCUAAUUCCUCCUGAAAAUCCAGGCUUUUACCCCUAGCCUUUUCACCCAGCUGUGUUCCAUCUGAAGGCAGGAGGCUUCAGUUCCCUCAUGCCUCCUAUAAACCUUCUACAUUCCUACCUGGCAGCUUCUCCAAGAGCGAAUUCUGUAUCACUCCAUUACUUACAGAAGGAUCAGCAGUGUUGACCUUGCUUUACACUGAGGUGAGUUUGACACUAAAAUGCUCUCGAGAUAGCACAUUUUCUUUUCAGACAGUGCUACAGAUAUAAAAAACAAUUGCCAUUUUAAAAGUGCCUGUAGUGGUGUAGUAGAAACACUUCCUCUUGCUAUGAACAGGUCUGCUCUUCCUUAGAGGGCAGCAGGCUAUUAUGCAAGUAGAGCUUUUCAGUGUUAGCACUUUUGCCUGCUCUUGCACUCUUCAGGAUUGCUGCAAUGACUGUAUUUGCAUUUGCUUCAUUAACCAUCUGGGCUAUCACCUCACAGCACUCAGACAUUAAAACUACUGAGGUAAUACUCAGGAAUGUGAAGACCACAGGCAUGUGGCCAAGUUACCUUCAGUUCAUCUUGGAGGUGAGUGGUUUCAUUUCUAUUGCCAUUUUGUUAAACAAGAGAGAAUUGUUUCUUUGGAUUGAUUCAUUUCUGAAAGGAUCAUGCAAAUGGAAAUCUCAAGCUAUCAAUACCGUAAUUACAUAUUCUAGUUCAGUAAUCUCUUCUACUUUGCCAUGCUACAUUAUUUAAUUUCCUCUUGUCUCAUGUGAACAUCUGUAACAAGAUUGCAAUGAAAAACGGUGUGCCGUGUGGUUAAGAAAAUGAACACCAAGUGACCUGAGUGCUCUGAAAUCAAUUGUAUGACAAAAGAGAUGGGCUUAAGUGGGGAGAAAAUGUGUUCAUUCUCAUGAGAACACAAGAUCUGAACCAAAUUUCAUGUGAAUUUUGUGGAACUCUAAGAGAAUUUAACUAAAGUUCCAAAGGUGAUGGUUGCUCCUUAUUGCCGAAAUGUACUCUCUAAUCCUAAAAAUCUCUAUAUUCUGGAAACCAAAGAUACGAUUAUUUUCAGUGUUGAAUUCAAGCUUCUGUUGCUCUCUCAGUGCUUUAUCGGUAAACUGAAUACUGUUAUCAAAGAUCUAUAAUUGAAUAUACAUUUUACAUCCUGUAAAUAAUACAGGCUUCAGAAGUAUAUUUGAUGGCAUUAAAGUCAAACGAUGGCUUACCCUAAAAAAUGCUCAAAUCCUUAAAUCCUGUGCAGCUUAGCUCAGGAAAAGAUCCCUGGAAACAUUGCUUCUGAAUACAGUUCUAGUGGUAAGACAGUUGCAUAGAGUAAAUUUUGCUAAUUUCUACAUUCUCUGAAAGCCAGAACACAUCAGUCUUUAUAUCUGGUGAUCAGCACCAUGUAUUUCAUCUGGAAGUGAAAUCAUCACCAGUGCAGAUGUUUGUGUACCUGGCCUUUGUGGUCCGAAAAGGUGGGCAGCAUAAUUCAGGUAGACCAUUCAAGCAGCCUCACAAGAUAGUUCUGGAAGAACAGCCACAGACACAUGUGUUAAUGGGAGAAUAUUCUAUUUCUGUGCUGGAAAUGCUUUCUGUAUCAAUUUAACUUUAAAUAUGUAGGCAUUUGUCCUGAACAUCUUUGUUUAGCCUUUUGUGGUGGAAAGAACUACCUUCUUAUGUGGAACUUGGCUGCAAAGAUCGAUGACCAGGUUUUGACUAUUACUACAAAGGAAAAAAACACAAGUGGAGUCUGAGUCGUUGUGGCUGUGCAAGACUCUUCGCACAGAGAAGGGAUUGGACUCUCAUCUGGAUUUUCUGACGCUCAUUGUUCAGGUACUAACUGCAAACUUAUUCUGAAAGUAAGUUUGGGAGGGUGUACAUGCCUGUGGAUUUCUUUCACAUUUAUGUGAAACCUAAUUAAACAAGAUGUUUGGUUCGAUAAUCAGUUCCACAAAGCAGGCAAGUGGGGUUUUUUUUGUAUUUUUACUAGCCUCUGUUAACUUAUAACCUUUUGAAAGGGAGUAUGUGAAGAAACAGGUCAUUACAUCAGCCCUCACCAAAGGAAAGAGUACAGGAUUCUUGAGGGAGGAGUACUGCUUGGCCUUCCUGGCAAUAGGUAAGAGUUUGUCUCUGGCACUGACUGCGUCUUCCACAAAGUUUUCCAUAUAGAACAUAUCAUAUGUUCAUGCUCUGUGCAACUAACUGUGAAAUACUUUUAAAUAGAAUGAUUGUUCAGUCCCAAUUUCAAAAUAUUCAUUUUUAAAAUUUUCCUUUUUUUUUUUAGUUUCUUGAGUCAUAACAGUCAUUAGCAUAGGGGGCAUUCUCGUAAAUCCAUCAGAUACUCAUGGAAGUGUCUCCAAAUAAAGUUAAAAUCUGUAAGUAAGCAAUUCUUUACAGCAUAUUGUAUAUCUGAGUGGGAACUUUUAAUUCUGGUGAAGGUCAGCUGUACUUCCUAGUUUCAAAGCCACUGUGUGACCUGAACUGUGAGCUCAGCCUCCCCUUCCCAGAAAUGGAGGAAGACAAAGGAAGACAUUUUGGGGGGAUAAAACCCUGUAACAGCAAUAAAGACCUCACUGGAGCAGAAAGAUGCAACCCCUUCUUCCCUGUGCCUGUUGGAGUUGGUUUUCCCUGGUGUUUGUGAGGUCUGUGAGAAAUGUUUGGAUAAGAUCUUUUGGUGCUGCUCCCAGAAUACGGUUCAUGUGAUGUCAAAAAAUCCUGAUGCUUUGCCAGGGACCUUUUUGUCAUUGGGAAUUUAGAGACUGGGUUUGUAAAGGGCUGGCUGAGCCAGAAUACAAAUUAAAACUCCUGAGCAACCUAUUCUGCCAGCCUGUCUUCUAUGAAAGGCCACCAGGGACCUGUACCAGGAGACACCUCCCAAAAGGAGAAUGAGCAAUGGAGCAAAGGUGACUAAGUUUGGUAGCACUGCAGAGCUGGAGAUGAAACAUCAGUGUCCAGGCCAUGGAUGUGCACUGAAAUAUGAGUUAUUGGAAUAAAUAAAUGUGGUCAUUGUAACCUUCCUUCAAGCCAGAGUAUCUUUGUCUUGAAGCAUCUGUCUUUCCAUCUGUAACCUGUAAGUUUCGUUCACUGGCAAGGCAGCCCUGGGUGAAUGGAAGAUAAGCAUCUGACAGUUUUCCUCACUAGUUUCCAUUCACCUCUUAAAGUCUGGAAUGGCAGACUUCUGAGUAAAUGCAAGGAAUUUAUUUUGAAUCUGCCAUAGAUGUUCACAGUAGUUAUUUAAGGUGCAGUCUGUCACCACCUGCUUGCAAUAUACAAAAGAUGAGAAGGAAGCAGAUUUUCCAGAAACCUUAGAACUGCAGUGAUCAUCCGUUAGGCGACAGGUAAAUUGUUCCUCCUUCCUGAUGAGGAUUUUCGCUUCAAUGAAUGUGAUCAAAAAGUUGUACCAGGUGACAAAUGUCAAUGUCUGGUAGUUUUUCAGAACUUUGGACCCCAUGGGAAAAGUGCAAGGAAAUUAAGAUGGGAAAGGAGACUGGAGAAGAAGGUAAAACAAGAAAUAGACAAAAAGGGAACUUAUUAGUGAAAAACAUAAUGCCAUUGAUCGGUACCUGCUUAGUGGAGAUGAAAAGGUGAGAAACAACAUCCUAAUAUAUCAUGUAUAUCACAGAAUCAUAGGAUGGUUUGAGUUGGAAGGGAUGUUAAAGAUCCUCUAAUUCCAACCACCCUGCUAUGGGCAGGGACACCUUCCAGCAGAACAGGUUGCUCAAAGCCCCAUCCAGCCUGGUCUCAAAAUAUCAUAAUAUAGUAUUAAUUAUAAUAUAAUCUCAAAAUGCUGUUCUACUUGCUGAUGGAUAUAUCAUGUUACAACUGUUAGAAUCCUGAGAGGCUAUUUUGUCCUACUUCGUGUUCCUUUUUCUUAUGAUAUCUGUCUUGUUUUCACUCCAUAGUUUCCAUUAUGAUCUCAUAUCAGGAAGCUCUUGAACAGGUUAAGUGUUCUGGGGUCAUAAUCAUAAUUAAAUCCACCUUUUGAUUGCUUAAUUUACACUAAUGAAUAAUUUUCAAAUUGGAAAUACUAGUUUUUCUCCCUAAAGAUCAAAUUUGAAAUUGUAAUAAGAAUUUUACAUUUUCAUUGAGCUGUAACCAGAUUGGUUUUUUUCACAACUUUGCAGAGUUUAUUAAUAAUCUUUGCUGUUUACUGUCAUCUGCAUAUAUAAAGUAUCACUGGUGGGCUGUGUUUGGCUUUACUAUGAACAGUUUCCCAUCUGACUUACUGUAGAUAGUCUCAGCCCUGUGUUCAUUUGACAUGAUUUGCCUUGAUUUUCUCAGUCAUCACUCCACUGGGUCAACAGACAGAUCAGCUGGAGAAGUUAUCACAAGUGCAUUUACAUGUCCAUAUGAAAGGACUUAUGGCUAGAGGUCCAUUUGGUUUUAAUGUUCAUUGACCAGCACCAAUGCCACUUAAUUACUUAAAAUAGAUACGCUAAGAUUGAGAAAAGGGUACAUAUUUUUAAUGAGAUAUAAAUGAGAUAAAAAAGGAAAGUGCUGAUAUGAAUCUGCAGAAAAGUUCUUGAGCUUGUCCCUGACUUGCCAGAUGCUCUCCUGCUCCCUCAGUUACAGUGUGUUCAUAUGAGCCACACCAUCUCAGUUCAAUUUGAAGCCCUGUGCCAGCUCCAUCUUCUAGAAACCAGCACAUCCAUGCUCCUUCUAUGCACUGCUGUCCUGACCUUCACUGGCCACUAUCUGGUGCUUCCCAGCAACACUGAAGAAGAGAAAAUUGACUCUAUCAUACUUUGAAACUUGGAAAACAGAAUGGUUUAAAAAUUACUGGAAAAUGAGCUAAACAUGUACUACUUAACAAUUAUGGAUGAUGCCAGUAGAACUAGGUUUGGAGUCACGAUGGAAAGUAGGCAAACUCCUGAAUAUAUUCCUCUUUUGUUAUUAUGUGAAUGGUACGCUCCAGUCAUCAAGUUCCUCUACCAAAUCACUUGCUCAGAAAGGAAAAAUGAGGAAGCUGGCGAAUGCUGAUAAGGUAACUUCAUGAAAUGCAAAGAAAAAGUUAAUAGAUUUUGUACUUCUGCUAAGUCAAGGACUUAUAAUGUUUGUUAAAACGACUUUUAUCUUUUUCAAACAAAAUGACUUACAUAAUUUUUUUUUCCACUCACUUGCAUCCUUUCACUAAGUACAAUAAAACUAUGGUUGGUCAUCUUGCCAGGUUUUUUGCUACCUUAAGAAAUGAGACAAAUGACAGAUAACCAAUGGUUUAUAAUGACAAACACAUCGGUUUCUACUCUUGUUCUCUUAUCUUCUAAACCAGAAAUAAGCAGCAAUGUUGGGCAGUCAUUACUAAGAUUUGCAUGAUUUGUUUGAAAUUAGACUUUGUUGUGUGCCAUCUUCAUUAAUAGUGCUCUUUUUACAUGGGACUCGGGCUUUACAUAUGACUCAGUGCUCCCCCCUUUUUCACAGCUGAAUUGGUGAUGUUAAUCAUUCCACUUCAGGGUAAAAAUCUAAUCACAGUGACACAACACAGGGAGACUUUGGGCUGAAGAAAGUACAAUUCAGAAGCCCAAGCAUCAAAAAUCAAAGGAUCUAGGGAAAAUAUAGUAAUAAAGGCAGCCAGCCAUCCCCAAGUAUGCAGUGAGAUUCCAGCAGGUGACAGGAUGCCAGGGUCUACAUUCUUAUCAAAAUAAGACUUAGAAGAAACUUAAGUGUUUUUAAGGCUUGCACAGUAGUAAUGAGACAUCUAACAGAAACUAUGCAUUUAGAGCUACUGUAUGUCCAGUCAGCCUCUGUAGUGCUGUUUCAUGAUCUUUCCAAGUCUUACAGCACACACAGUGAUCUCUAAUGGGUUUUAUUUAAGGUUUAAACAGAGAUCUGCUUAGAAUGAUACACUGAAAUAAAAUCACACCAAAGCUAUUAUAUAGUCUAUUUUAAUGGAGUUGUUUAUAUCAGCACCAUCUUCAGAUGAAACUCAUAACACUCCAUUAAAUACUACAUUUUCCUACAUGGUUCCAAAAGCAUGGCAAAAUACUAAUACCACAGUUACUGCUUCAGCUUCUUCGCAUGGAGUUAGAUCCCUGACCCAGCAGAAGGUUUAUAUGGUGCAGAGCCUUAGGUUAGGUGACUUCAACUAGGAUGUCUUAGUUAAGUGCUUUUAGUUGACGCAGUCAGCCUUCAGUAGAAACACAAGCAUUAUCACACAAGAAUGAGCUUAGUGCCAUCUCAUUAGUCUGUACUUGCAUGACUGGCUUUAGUUCAGGAGCUUGUACCCCGUAUCUCUCCUAAUUUUUGCUAUGCUAGGCAAGAAUAAACAGUUUUAACAUCA
This is a long non-coding RNA of Pezoporus occidentalis (night parrot), 7738 nucleotides long. RefSeq lists it as uncharacterized. The transcript is spliced from 2 exons. Lineage: Eukaryota; Metazoa; Chordata; Aves; Psittaciformes; Psittacidae. The record is from RefSeq and is a predicted model, not a curated record.